RNAcentral lists this long non-coding RNA (5452 nucleotides) under Nicotiana tabacum (common tobacco). Its description in RNAcentral is "long non-coding RNA (NTAB_LNC004042)". Lineage: Eukaryota; Viridiplantae; Streptophyta; Magnoliopsida; Solanales; Solanaceae. The record is from RNAcentral.
UCCUUUUCUCAUUUCAUUUAUGACGGAAAUUAUAUGGAGCUAUAUUGGAAACGUUAUUUCAGGCUUAAUAAUUGACAAAAUGUUACGUUGUAUAAUGGGGUGGGGAAAUAAAUGCUCGUAGAUCUAAUAUACUCUAUUAAUAAGCAUAAGCCAUAGAUUGGCUAAAAAAGAAUACAAAUUAAUAGAAUAAGAACCAAAAAGAAAAAGGAUGCACAACUUUGUUUAAUGAAUAUCUGGUAAUCUAAAUGAGUUGCACCAAGCUAGUCAUUGACUCAACCGGGCCAAAUUACCACAUUCUGCUUACGUUCUGCUCAUCUUCAUGCACUUUGCCUUUCCCCAUAGCUUAGCUUUAGCAUCUAGAUCUCUCACCACAAACACUGAGCUUCUUCACCAGAGAAUUCAUCUUGUCGUCUGCAUUUGAAGACUCAGACCCACAAAAUUAUAAAUACCCAUAAAAUAACAUUUAGGAAAACACACCAAUCAUGUUAUUGUUAUUAAUUAGAGCAGUAAAAUUGAAAUAUACAAAUAAAAAAAAAGAAUAAAAGAUCAAUGAACUUACAAUAUUUAUGUCUUAAAAUCAGCUUCCUCUUCUCCCAUGAAAAAAAUAGAGUCCCAAGAGAAAGAAAAAACAUGGAAAAUAUAACUCACUGAACUGCAUGUUUUAACAUCUCCAAAUUGGAAACCAAAAUUGAUGAAACGCAAUUGCAGAAGGUUCUCUUUGUAUACAUAGUAUCAACAUAUAUGCACAAAGAUAAUACUCACUUUUUUGCCACCGAGGAGUACGCUAUGAACCCCUUUUUAUCAUUAUUCAGAAAUUCUAAUUAAUUAAUUCUAAAGAACUCCUAGAGAUUGCAGAAGUACCACACUUGAUGACACAACUCUUUCUUACUUGACCUGCAGCAUCCAAAACUACUACUACUAAAUCAGCUCCCAUAUAUAUGUGCCCGAAGCUACUACCUUCCAAGUUGUAGCAGAAACUAUGGUGUAUCAUUCUUUUUGGCAGUUACAAUAGGCAUCCCACAACCACGAUUCAUUCGCCAACUGUUGCGAUCCAUGUUUAGGUGCACAUCUAUUUUUAAUUUAAAGUGAACGUGUUAAUUGCCACAGAGAUUGAAUGAAGAUGAUUUCAAAAGCAGCACUCUUUCCGGCUAACUUCUACGUUCUGCCAUUUUAAGUUGACUUGUUGGUUGGUGGAGCUUUAUUGCUUGAUCCUUGUUAUCCAAGUCUUGUGCUUCAGCACAUGAGCCUUUUGUACGUACUAAAUAGGCAGGAGGUGUAGAAUAUGAACAGUUUCACUAAUGAAACGGCUUGAGAACUAAUGUCUUUUCAUCUUUGAUUUUUUUGACUAACUGCCAACUUACCCUUUAAUUGAGUAAUUAUUAGGUAUUUUUAGACUUUUUAACCUAAGAUAAACCAAUAAAAGUAAGGGAAAAACCAAAAAAAUUGAGAAAAAAGAUAAGUGACUUUCAUGGACUAUGAGAGGUAUCACCUUUUCCAUUCCCUCCUUUUUAUAUAUAUAUUUUCAGAAAUUAUAUGAAUAGUGUUGGUUUGGUUUGGUUUCGCCUUGAUUUUUUUUUUUUUUAGUUUAAAUUAAACUAAACCAAUUAUAAACAAGUUCUUUCCCAAUACCAAACGAAAGCAACUCAAACCACAUUCGAAUAUUUUUAUUCGAUUUAAUUCUUAUUACCGGUUUGGCGCGAAUACACCCCUAAUUUUGGUUAAGUACCGAGCCUUAGUGUUUACAUAUUAAAUGGAACUGGAGAAGACGACAAAGCUGGUAAGUCCCCUCCUGCUGAUGAUUCUUUGCUCGCAUCAUGACCAAUUAGAAGAUUUGUCAAUUGAUAACAAUUUGAAUCCUUUGCCCGAGGCCCCAAAUUUCGAUAUAUAAAUCUUACUCAUACCUAACAAUAAUGAUACUAAUGGAGGAUGCCUUCCACGUUUUCCUUAUAUUUUUCUUGUCAAGAAUAACAUAAGUAACUAAUAGAAUAUUUUGCCGUCAUAUUUGUUGAAACUGUCAAAAUUAAUUGUUUACCUCGAAAAUAUAAGUAACAAUUAAAUUUAAUUUGUGAUUUUAAAGAUGGAUUUAGUUCAAUACCAAUUAAUAUUCAAGAAGUAUAAAGUAUAAAUGGAAAAAAUGAAUGAAUCAAACCAGUGUUACUUAAACAGUGUCGACCUCGAGACCAGUAACCCCGAGGAGGGUUAAGAACAAUGAGGCAAGAACAGUAAAACGAGGACAAUAAAACUAAAAGACAAUUCUGAUGAACAAUAAGUGAAAAAAUAAGAUAGUAUAUUCUUUGCCAAUGAUUAGAUGAUGUUUACAAAUGAUAGGGGCCCCCUUUAUAUAAUAGGGGGAACCCUAAAUAAGAUACAUUUCUAUUUACAGUAAGGAAUUUUAUUGGGACAGCUGUAUAACCGCCUAGUACUGAUUUGUACUAAUUCGUACAAAUCUAUUCCGGAAUUUAUACCAUGAUCUUGGGGACAUGGCGGAAAUCUUGCUCAUUCUGUUACAAACUCAUAACGGCAUUAUCUCGAGGCCGGUCACGUUCGGCCUCGAUGUUCAUCGGACACUUUGAUCUUCGAAGCCUCUCAUCGGGCUCGCUCCUGAUCUAUUUCGAUCUCGUUCUCGAAGUGACCCUCGAGCUCACGAAAUCAGGUAGCCCCGAUUUCCACUAUAUACAGAUAGUCCCCCGCAUUUCUUAGAGUAUAACAACAAGAAACGAAUUGAGUCCUUGAUUUUUGCCCCCGUAUUUGCCCAUGACAUCAUCAUCAUGACGCAAGCGACUGAGGAAACGAAAGCUUGGAAGCUGGCCGUUCCCGAGGAAAACUCAGAGAACUUUUAGCAAGCCCAGCGACGGGGAAGAUUAUGAGGGCGAAGACACUUCUGCCGAUAAGGACCGUGCUGCUUAGGUUUCGUGCUCUUAGUAAUAUCUUGCUUUUGAGGUUGAUCGGCCCUUGCGAGGAACUCUUGAUCGUGAUCUAUAGCUUGUAAAAAGGUGCAUACAAAGCCCUUUUCCUUCCAUGGCUUCUGAAUCUGUUACCUUUUUGUGCGGGUCAAAGCGUCUUAGCAUAAAAUUCCUUUUGAAUGUCCAAAGUUUGAGAUGGUAAUUGUCACACCUCUUUUUUUCCUACACCCCGUAAAAGGGAGUAUAUAAGGGGAGUUUUUUCCAACUUAAAGUGACAAUCGAAACAUGAUUAUUUAUUUAUUAAAUUCAGAGUCGCCACUUGGGAUAAUUUUAUGGUGUCCCAAGUCACCGGUUCAAAUCCCGAAUCGAGGAAAAGUUUGACUCUGUAUUACAUUCCGCGCACACAGAAAUCCAGGUAAGGAAUUCUGUUAACCCGGGAGAAGGUGUUAGGCAUUCCCGAGUUCCGUGGUUCUAGCACGGUCGCUCAACUGUUAUUAUUGGCUUAAUUAUCUGAUUUUAAACAUUUUAAACCUAUGUGCAUUUUUAAAACUUUAACCUCUUUUAAUCAUUUUAGGAAUAUUACAACGUUGUUAAAACAUGUCUUGAACCACAUCACAUAAAUGCACCCGCGGUCUUCGACAUAUUUUAACAUCGUUGAGAUUUGGAUUUGGGUCACAUAAAUGCGCACCCGAGUUUAGGAAGGUAAAUUAUUAAAAUAACGUGCCUAAAGCAAUUCCGCACUUUCAAGUUUGCGAGGGCCAUGUAAAUUCUCUAAAUGGCACGCCUCGAUGUCUAAGGAUUAAAACAAAAUAAAUUAAGCGAGGGCCAUGCAAUUGUCAUUUUUGUUUGUCACGGCACACCUCGAAUCCAAUUUUUAAAAGAAGCCCAAUAUUAAACUCUAAAGGGCCAUAACUAUAUUUGUUAAGUAGGGCACACCUCAACUAAUUGUCUAAAAUUUCUUGUUUUUGAAACCAUGAGGGCCAUAGGCUAUAGGAUUUUAUUCGUGUAUGGCGCACCUCAAAUUAUUUUUAAAAGAAAAGACUUGUAUUCACAUUUUUUAAAGGCAAAUUAAAAAUGCUCCUACUUAUAUCUUAUUUAAAAAACUAAGUAUCACAACCAAGUCACGGGAACCAUACCCGUAGUUGUAAUAAUUUAAUUGCGCGCCGGGAAGUUUGCUUAUCCAGUCAGUAAAACAAAGAAUACAGCGAUCAUAUGUAAGUUCCCAGGCAAACAAAUAAAGUGGAACAGUCGAAAUACAUAUCGAUAAGGCAUUCUAGCUAGACUCAUUCACAUAUUAAACAAUUUCUUCUCUUCUUUUUUUCUUUCUUGAAGUCCAACUCUAGAAAAGGACAAUUUUGUGAAAGUUAAAUAAGUGGGACAAUUACAAGCAGGCAAGAGAGAAGAAAGACAGUCAAAUACGAGCUGGGAAAUGAGUAUGCCAGCAGCGUGGAAAAAAAGAAAAUACAAGAGACCACUCUUGCCACGCUGAAUUCUACAUCCACAAGAUACGCUUACAGUAAAAUCAUAUUAGUUUGAAACAACAAAUCCUAGUUAUCUUAGGUGCAUUCCUCAAAAGCUCUUUUAUCACAUGAGAACAGAAAUAUCAAUAUUUUCAAGGUCAAAGAACCAGAUACCACACAUCUGAUUACUCAUAUAUAGCAAAUUCAUUCUUGUCCUCUUUCCCAAUUAUCUAGAUUUGAGUCAACUAAUAUUCAACCAUCAAUGUAGCAAACCAACAAUUAUUCAUUCGGUCAAAUUAAAACAAUCAACUAUGUUAAAACAAAUAAUUUCACAUACAAGCAUCACAAUAGAAUUAUUAAAAUUAAGAACAAGAGAGGGAUAAACCUUUAUUGCUGCAAUUUUCUGCCAGGUACAACAAAAUAGGAUCUCAAAAUCAGCCAACCAAACAAACGAACUUUUUGAUCUAAACCUCGAUGAAUCUGCUGUUUUCUCUGUAGCUGAGCUUUUCCAAUUACAAAUUUCUUCCAAACAGAAUACACAAGAGAUGUCGACGGAAACUCGAACUACGAGCGACAACCUCGAUGAACUCGACUCAACCCAGCCUUCUCAUUUUUUAAUUCAGAUCUGGCCGUUCCCCCCUUCGUAUAUGUGUGCGUUUGUACCUGGGCGUUCUUGAUGGUGGUGGGGGGGGGGGGGCAGGCUCGUUCUCUCUACUUUCUGAUGGGCUGCGGCUGAAGGGUGAGGGAUUUUUGGUUUGGUUGUUGAUGAAGAAGAUCGAUGGGGGAGGGUCUGUGGUUUUCGCUGGUUUUCAAUUGAAGAAGAAGAAGAAGCAGGACGAUGGGGUUUCUGUGUAUUUGUUGAAGAAUCGGCCCUUCAAAAAGUGUGUCCCCCUCUAUUUAGGCAUUAGGUACUAUUAUAUAGGGGUAGGUAUUAAGUUAGGGGUAUGGGCCUAAGAAUUAUGGGCUAGGUCCAAAAUUAGGCCGAAAAAAUGGGUUGCUCGAGCCCAAGUUUUAUUCUUUCCCGCGAACGAGAUUAAAAUAUAAUCUCAUUUAUUAAUUAGUCCUACUUAAGUAAAAUAGCUGUUAGAA